Long non-coding RNA from Aethalodelphis obliquidens (Pacific white-sided dolphin), 1062 nucleotides. RefSeq lists it as uncharacterized. Lineage: Eukaryota; Metazoa; Chordata; Mammalia; Artiodactyla; Delphinidae. The record is from RefSeq and is a predicted model, not a curated record. The transcript has 5 exons.
UCUAGUAACAGCCCACGCCUUCGUAAUAAUUUUCUUUAUGGUUAUACCUAUCAUAAUUGGGGGAUUUGGAAACUGACUAGUUCCCUUGAUAAUUGGAGCCCCUGACAUAGCAUUCCCUCGUCUAAACAACAUAAGCUUCUGACUACUUCCCCCUUCCUUUCUACUACUGAUAGCAUCUUCAAUAAUUGAAGCUGGCGCAGGUACAGGCUGAACUGUAUAUCCUCCUCUAGCCGGAAAUCUAGCACACGCAGGAGCCUCAGUAGACCUUACUAUUUUCUCUCUGCAUUUAGCCGGUGUAUCUUCAAUCCUUGGGGCUAUUAACUUCAUUACAACUAUCAUUAAUAUAAAACCACCCGCUAUAACCCAAUACCAAACACCUCUCUUCGUCUGACUGGCAACACUUCACGGAGGAAGUAUUAAAUGAUCUCCCGCCCUAAUAUGAGCUUUAGGCUUUAUUUUCUUAUUCACAGUAGGAGGUUUAACUGGUAUUAUCCUGGCUAACUCAUCCCUAGACAUUAUUCUCCAUGACACCUAUUAUGUAGUUGCCCAUUUUCACUAUGUACUUUCAAUAGGAGCUGUUUUCGCCAUCAUAGGGGGUUUCGUCCACUGAUUUCCACUAUUUUCAGGCUAUACACUUAACCCAACAUGAACAAAAAUCCAAUUCAUAAUUAUAUUCGUAGGUGUAAAUAUGACAUUCUUUCCACAGCACUUCCUAGGCCUAUCUGGAAUACCUCGUCGAUACUCCGACUAUCCAGAUGCCUACACAACACGAAAUACCAUCUCAUCAAUAGGCUCCUUCAUCUCACUGACAGCAGUCAUACUGAUAAUCUUCAUUAUCUGAGAAGCAUUCGCAUCUAAACGGGAAGUAUUAGCAGUAGACCCCACCUCCACAAACCUUGAAUGACUAAACGGAUGUCCUCCACCAUAUCACACAUUUGAGGAACCAGUAUAUGUUAACCUAAAAUAUUCAAGAAAGGAAGGAAUCGAACCCCCUCUAAUCGGUUUCAAGCCAACAUCAUAACCAUUAUACUUAAACAUAAAAAAUUCAUGAAAGGAAGGAAG